UACGUAGGGUGCAAGCGUUAUCCGGAAUUAUUGGGCGUAAAGAGCUCGUAGGCGGUUUGUCGCGUCUGCUGUGAAAACUGGAGGCUCAACCUCCAGCCUGCAGUGGGUACGGGCAGACUAGAGUGCGGUAGGGGAGAUUGGAAUUCCUGGUGUAGCGGUGGAAUGCGCAGAUAUCAGGAGGAACACCGGUGGCGAAGGCGGAUCUCUGGGCCUUACCUGACGCUGAGGCGCGAAAGCUAGGGGAGCGAACAGG
RNAcentral lists this ribosomal RNA (253 nucleotides) under uncultured bacterium. Its description in RNAcentral is "partial 16S ribosomal RNA". It matches the Rfam family "Bacterial small subunit ribosomal RNA", at positions 524 to 776 of the family's 1533-position model. The record is from RNAcentral.